UACGGAGGGGGCUAGCGUUGUUCGGAAUUACUGGGCGUAAAGCGCACGUAGGCGGCUUUGUAAGUUAGAGGUGAAAGCCCGGGGCUCAACUCCGGAACUGCCUUUAAGACUGCAUCGCUAGAAUUGUGGAGAGGUAAGUGGAAUUCCGAGUGUAGAGGUGAAAUUCGUAGAUAUGGGGAGGAACACCGGUGGCGAAGGCGGCCACCUGGACGGUAACUGACGCUGAGGCGCGAAAGCCAGGGGAGCAAACGGG
RNAcentral lists this ribosomal RNA (253 nucleotides) under uncultured bacterium. Its description in RNAcentral is "partial 16S ribosomal RNA". It matches the Rfam family "Bacterial small subunit ribosomal RNA", at positions 524 to 776 of the family's 1533-position model. The record is from RNAcentral.